GAGGGUGUAGCUCAGUGGCAGAGCACAGGGCUUAGCAUGCACGAGGUCCUGGGUUCAAUCCUCAGUACCUCCA
This 73-nucleotide transfer RNA is filed under the name Camelus bactrianus (Bactrian camel). It matches the Rfam family "tRNA". Rfam says of the family: Transfer RNA (tRNA) molecules are approximately 80 nucleotides in length. Their secondary structure includes four short double-helical elements and three loops (D, anti-codon, and T loops). The record is from Rfam by way of RNAcentral. RNAcentral also lists the same sequence under 2 other names. Lineage: Eukaryota; Metazoa; Chordata; Mammalia; Artiodactyla; Camelidae.